RNAcentral lists this long non-coding RNA (281 nucleotides) under Lathyrus oleraceus (garden pea). RNAcentral describes it as "Pisum sativum (pea) long non-coding RNA (PSAT_LNC036835)". Lineage: Eukaryota; Viridiplantae; Streptophyta; Magnoliopsida; Fabales; Fabaceae. The record is from RNAcentral.
AGAACCUGAGAAAUUAAAUAGCAGUCUUGAACACUCCACCACAGGUCGGUCGGAUCUGUUCUUGAAUUCUUCAAUCAGGCAGGAAAAUAAAAGCGAAGGAAUAAAAUAAAAAAAACUAGAUUCUAACGUAAGGUUAGAUCCGGUAAAAGAUACACAAUAGUUUCUGGUGUAGAAACUAUUGUGCGAAAAAUUAAUUAAGUGCUAGAAAAGAAAAUAGAAUUGCAAAAGAAAACAAUACAAAAAUUGUAAAAGAAGUACUGUAAAGAAUAUGCUUAAGCUGC